This 434-nucleotide ribosomal RNA is filed under the name uncultured soil bacterium. Its description in RNAcentral is "bacterial SSU rRNA". It matches the Rfam family "Bacterial small subunit ribosomal RNA", at positions 27 to 465 of the family's 1533-position model. The record is from RNAcentral.
GGAUUGAACGCUGGCGGCAUGCCUAACACAUGCAAGUCGAACGGGAGUAGCAAUACUCUAGUGGCGGACGGGUGAGGAAUACGUAGGAAUUUGCCCUUAAGUGGGGGAUAACCCGGGGAAACCCGGAUUAAUACCGCAUGACCUCGAAAGAGCAAAGUGGGGGAUCGCAAGACCUCACGCUUUUGGAGAAGCCUACGUCGGAUUAGCUAGUUGGUGAGGUAAUGGCUCACCAAGGCGACGAUCCGUAACUGGUCUGAGAGGAUGAUCAGUCACACCGGAACUGAGACACGGUCCGGACUCCUACGGGAGGCAGCAGUGGGGAAUAUUGGACAAGUGGGACGCAAGCCUGAUCCAGCAAUGCCGCGUGUGUGAAGAAGGCCUUCGGUUAGUAAAGCAACGUUUAAGUUAGGGAAGAAAAACUCGACUACUAACAC